Molecule: small nucleolar RNA, 111 nt
Filed under: Plasmodium yoelii
Lineage: Eukaryota; Apicomplexa; Aconoidasida; Haemosporida; Plasmodiidae
Description: snoRNA PY17X_1021200
Rfam family: small nucleolar RNA snoR25 (bases 7-75)
Source: RNAcentral
AUAUAUUUUUAAUGAUGAGAUAUACAGACCUGAGUUGAAAAUAAAAUUUGAGAAUGCAUAACGCUCCUGAACAAAUAUAUUCUGCACACAAAUUAUAAUUUCCAAGAGAGU